AUUCGUUUAGUAUAAGAAAGUACAUUUAAUUUCCAAUUAAAAGGACUAAAUUAAUUAGAAUGAAUA
RNAcentral lists this transfer RNA (66 nucleotides) under Leptomantella albella. RNAcentral describes it as "tRNA-Gly". Lineage: Eukaryota; Metazoa; Arthropoda; Insecta; Mantodea; Leptomantellidae. The record is from RNAcentral.